This 91-nucleotide transfer RNA is filed under the name Verrucomicrobiales bacterium. Its description in RNAcentral is "tRNA-Leu". Lineage: Bacteria; Pseudomonadati; Verrucomicrobiota; Verrucomicrobiia; Verrucomicrobiales. The record is from RNAcentral.
ACCGUUGAAUCCUAGUUCCAAAAGAGUUCGCUCACGGACUUAAAAUCCGUUGAGUAUUGCACUCGUGCGGGUUCGAUUCCCGCUGUCGGUA